Molecule: long non-coding RNA, 324 nt
Organism: Danio aesculapii
Lineage: Eukaryota; Metazoa; Chordata; Actinopteri; Cypriniformes; Danionidae
Exons: 2
Source: RefSeq, a predicted model, not a curated record
UCAGGACAGGUAUUUUAUACCCACACACCAAAGAAACUUUUUGAGGUUUGGGGAGAUGCAUCACUGCGGAUCCUCUCGUAUUGCAAAAAAAGAAGAGAGCCUUGGAUCUACCAGUUCAAGCAGACAUUUCAUCUGACAGCCUUGGAGAUUCCACUUUGGAGAUGGUGCUUUAACAACUCUGCCAGCUAUCCUUUCUCCACUGCUAUACAGAUUGUGCAGCAAGAUGGUUCGGCCCUCAUACCAGGAGGCAAAACAAGAAUUUGUUGAUUUGCGACUUCUAGGUGCAUUAUUUAUGACAAUAAAUGUUGGACAUUAUUUAAUUCA